UGAGUGGUUGGUUUUUUUUUGAACUGUAAUUGCUCACAAGGACACGUUCCACACUCUUAGUGCUGGUGUUCCUUGGCAGUAAAAGGCUCUCUACCACCUACCUAUUGAUACCACAUCUAACCGCCUCAUCCUCUUGCCCCCGCAGAAUGAAUUCAGGGUGAAAAACUUGUCAUCGCAGCUGAGGGGGAAAAGAAAUGAAGAAGAGGAGCAAAAGCUCCCAAUGAAACUCAAAUGGCCCAGAAACUGGCCAUGGCCCCACUAUGAAGGAGCUCUGAGGGAAGCAUGUGAUUUGUGUCCUCUGCAUAAGAACCACUCUGGAGCAAGAAUGAAAUUUAAUUGGAGCCAAUACAUUCCUGCAGAAAGUUAUGAUAUUAAUGAAACAAGAUUUUCUGACGGAAAAUCGUUCUGCUGGAAAAUUUCCAACCAGCUCUUCUUGAAAGCACUGGGGGAGAAAAGAAGAACUGGCUUCUUCUCUGGGAGGAUUGUUGACAAGCAGCAUAAUUUAUCCAAUGGCUUUUAGAUACUGCAGUGAUGGGGGCCUUAGAAAUGAACAUAUGUAAAGCCCUAUGACCAGAAGCUCCAAAGGGCAAAGAGCUCUGUACUAUGAUAUAACCGCAUUUGCUCCAAACCCUCAGACAGAGACAAACACCUACAAGAACUCUAUCAUGCAUUCCUACAACUACAGUACCCACCUGCUGAAGUGAAGAAACAGA
Dermochelys coriacea (leatherback sea turtle) is the source of this 713-nucleotide long non-coding RNA. RefSeq lists it as uncharacterized. NCBI's taxonomy places the organism in Eukaryota, Metazoa, Chordata, Testudines, Dermochelyidae. The record is from RefSeq and is a predicted model, not a curated record. The transcript is spliced from 3 exons.